RNAcentral lists this ribosomal RNA (400 nucleotides) under uncultured bacterium. RNAcentral's name for it is "bacterial SSU rRNA". It matches the Rfam family "Bacterial small subunit ribosomal RNA", at positions 355 to 747 of the family's 1533-position model. The record is from RNAcentral.
UGGGGAAUAUUGGACAAUGGGGGCAACCCUGAUCCAGCAAUGCCGCGUAUGUGAAGAAGGCCUUCGGGUUGUAAAGCAUUAGCAGUUGGGAAGAGUAGUAUUGGGUUAAGAGCUAGAUACUAGGACAUUACCGACAUAAGAAGCACCGGCUAACUCUGUGCCAGCAGCCGCGGUAAUACAGAGGGUGCAAGCGUUAAUCGGAAUUACUGGGCGUAAAGAGUGCGCAGGUUGUUUAUUAAGUAUGAUGUGAAAUGCCUUGGCUUAACUAAGGAAGUGCAUCAUAAACUGGUAGGCUAGAGUAUUGUAGAGGAUAGCGGAAUUCCCGGUGUAGCGGUGAAAUGCGUAGAUAUCGGGAGGAACAUCAGUUGCGAAGGCGGCUAUCUGGACGAAGACUGACACU